RNAcentral lists this ribosomal RNA (301 nucleotides) under uncultured bacterium. Its description in RNAcentral is "partial 16S ribosomal RNA". It matches the Rfam family "Bacterial small subunit ribosomal RNA", at positions 509 to 807 of the family's 1533-position model. The record is from RNAcentral.
CAGUAGCCGCGGUAACACGAAGGGGGCUAGCGUUGCUCGGAUUUACUGGGUGUAAAGGGCGCGUAGGCGGAUAAUUAAGUUGGGGGUGAAAGCCCGGGGCUCAACCUCGGAAUUGCCUUCAAUACUGGUUAUCUUGAGUGUGAGAGAGGUGUGUGGAACUCCGAGUGUAGAGGUGAAAUUCGUAGAUAUUCGGAAGAACACCAGUGGCGAAGGCGACACACUGGCUCACUACUGACGCUGAGGCGCGAAAGCGUGGGGAGCAAACAGGAUUAGAUACCCCCGUAGUCCCUGUCUCUUAUAC